GCAAGUCUGGUGCCAGCAGCCGCGGUAAUUCCAGCUCCAAUAGCGUAUAUUAAAGUUGUUGCAGUUAAAAAGCUCGUAGUUGAAUUUCGGGAUCAAUAUUUCGGUCAUGCCGUUGGUAUGCACUGUUAUCAUUGAUUUCUCACCUUCUAAAGAACCAUAAUGCCAUUAAUUUGGUGUUACGGGGAAUUAGGACUGUUACCUUGAAAAAAUUAGAGUGUUUAAAGCAGGCUCACGCUUGAAUACAUUAGCAUGGAAUAAUGAAAUAGGACAUCCGAUUCUAUUUUGUUGGUUUCUAGGAUCGAUGUAAUGAUUAAUAGGGAUAGUUGGGGGCAUUAGUAUUCAAUUGUCAGAGGUGAAAUUCUUGGAUUUAUUGAAGACUAACCACUGCGAAAGCAUUUGCCAAGGAUGUUUUCAUUAAUCAAGAACGAAAGUUAGGGGAUCGAAGACGAUCAGAUACCGUCGUAGUCUUAACCAUAAACUAUGCCGACUAGGGAUCGGAUGAUGUUAAUUUUUUAAUGACUCAUUCGGCGCCUUACGGGAAAC
This 543-nucleotide ribosomal RNA is filed under the name uncultured Glomeromycotina. RNAcentral's name for it is "SSU rRNA". It matches the Rfam family "Eukaryotic small subunit ribosomal RNA", at positions 555 to 1098 of the family's 1831-position model. The record is from RNAcentral. Lineage: Eukaryota; Fungi; Glomeromycota.